This 119-nucleotide microRNA precursor is filed under the name Marmota monax (woodchuck). The record is from RNAcentral. Lineage: Eukaryota; Metazoa; Chordata; Mammalia; Rodentia; Sciuridae.
CUAGGUGACCAACCAUCCUGGUUUGCCUGGGACUUAUGUGUUUCCCAGGAUGUGGGUCAUUUCAUUUUAAAUCACAACAGCCCUGGGAAAAUUAGGAUGGUUGAUCUCCUUAUCUAGCU